CCAAUAUACAAAUUGCUCUCACACACGCACUACCCCUCCAUACACAUACUGCACCACUCACACACACACACUACACCCACUAUCCCUGCAGACCCUGGGUAAGUUAUCAACCGUUUCUUUUAAACGGUUUGACUACUUACUCUGGGAGGGCACCACAGCAAAUCCUGGCACCAAAACCACAACAGAGAGCUGUAGUGGUUAUUGUG
Pelobates cultripes (western spadefoot toad) is the source of this 206-nucleotide non-coding RNA. NCBI's taxonomy places the organism in Eukaryota, Metazoa, Chordata, Amphibia, Anura, Pelobatidae. The record is from the annotation of a GenBank genome assembly.